Molecule: ribosomal RNA, 415 nt
Filed under: uncultured archaeon
Lineage: Archaea
Description: SSU rRNA
Rfam family: Archaeal small subunit ribosomal RNA
Source: RNAcentral
CGGCGGCCACCGCUAUAGGAAUUCGAUUAAGACAUGCGAGUCGAGAGUCGUAAUGGACUCGGCGGACUGCUCAGUAACACGUGGAUAACGUGCCCUUAAGUGGAGGAUAAUUUCGGGAAAUUGAGGAUAAUACUCCAUAGACUACGAAAUCUGGAAUGAUUCAUAGUUGAAAGUUCCGGCGCUUAAGGAUCGGUCUGCGGCCUAUCAGGUUGUAGUGGGUGUAACGUACCUACUAGCCUAUGACGGGUAUGGGCCUUGAGAGAGGGAGCCCAGAGUUGGAUUUUGAGACACGAAUCCAGGCCCUACGGGGCGCAGCAGUCGCGAAAACUUCACAAUGGGGGCAACCCCGAUGAGGGAAUUCCUAGUGCUAGCACAAUUGUGUUAGCUUUUCUCUAGCGUAGAUAACUGGAGGAAU